GGCAGCCAACUGGAAUCGCAUCAGGACCUCCAGGAGGACUAUUAUCCAUAUCCCAUCAUUAGGAAUUGGUAUGUGUACCUGUAGGAGGCUGCAGAAUUCAACUGGAAAUUUUCCCUCAAUGAGGAAGACGGAUUUUCCCAGUGCAUCCGUGAGCAUAUUCCUGAUCUCGCUCUCCAGCAGAACACGCAGAUGGGAAGGCUGUGUGACACCCUGGGUACGUCACGAGCUGGUGCCUGCCUAGCUUCUUAUUGUUACUUGCCCAUAGUUGUGAGCAAUAGAGAACGACUGAUGAGGACUUUUGUAUUAAAU
This 309-nucleotide long non-coding RNA is filed under the name Calidris pugnax (ruff). Its description in RNAcentral is "lncRNA (ENSCPUG00000006595.1)". The record is from RNAcentral. Lineage: Eukaryota; Metazoa; Chordata; Aves; Charadriiformes; Scolopacidae.